RNAcentral lists this RNase P RNA (373 nucleotides) under human gut metagenome. Its description in RNAcentral is "Bacterial RNase P class A". It matches the Rfam family "Bacterial RNase P class A". Rfam says of the family: Ribonuclease P (RNase P) is a ubiquitous endoribonuclease, found in archaea, bacteria and eukarya as well as chloroplasts and mitochondria. Its best characterised activity is the generation of mature 5'-ends of tRNAs by cleaving the 5'-leader elements of precursor-tRNAs. Cellular RNase Ps are ribonucleoproteins. The record is from RNAcentral.
GGGCCGGGUGAUCGCAGCCUCAGGGCUGAGGAAAGUCCGGACUCCACAGAGCAGGGUGGUGGGUAACGCCCACCCGGGGUGACCCGCGGGACAGUGCCACAGAGAACAGACCGCCCCGCCUCGUGCGGGGUAAGGGUGAAACGGUGGUGUAAGAGACCACCAGCACCCCAGGUGACUGGGGUGGCUUGGUAAACCCCACCCGGAGCAAGGCCAAGAAGGGCCCUCGGGCCUGCGGACGCCGUCCGAGCGCUGCUCGCGCGAGGCGUCCGGGUAGGUCGCACGCCGGCAACGGCGAAGGCGGUUGGCAACAACCGUCGCAGAUGGAUGAUCACCGGUCCCCUCGGGGAUCACAGAAUCCGGCUUACAGGCCCGG